Molecule: ribosomal RNA, 1332 nt
Filed under: metagenome
Description: bacterial SSU rRNA
Rfam family: Bacterial small subunit ribosomal RNA
Source: RNAcentral
AGAGUUUGAUCCUGGCUCAGGAUGAACGCUGGCGGCGUGCUUAACACAUGCAAGUCGAACGUGAAGCUUUAACUGAAUACUUCGGUAGGAUUUUAAGGUGGAAAGUGGCGAACGGGUGAGUAACACGUAGGUGACCUGCCUCGAAGUGGGGGACAACCAUUGGAAACGAUGGCUAAUACCGCAUGGUUCUGUUGGUAUGGGAAUGCCGAUAGAUAAAGCCUUCGGGCGCUUUGAGAGGGGCCUGCGGUCGAUUAGCUAGUUGGAGGGGUAAAGGCCCACCAAGGCGACGAUCGAUAGCUGGUCUGAGAGGACGAUCAGCCACAUGGGAACUGAGACACGGUCCCAACUCCUACGGGGGGCAGCAGUGAGGAAUAUUGCACAAUGGGGGAAACCCUGAUGCAGCAACGCCGCGUGGAGGAUGAAGGUUCUUGGAUUGUAAACUCCUUUUCUGAGGGAAGAGCAAGGACGGUACCUCAGGAAUAAGUCACGGCUAACUACGUGCCAGCAGCCGCGGUGACACGUAGGUGGCGAGCGUUAUCCGGAUUUACUGGGCGUAAAGGGCACGCAGGCGGUCAAUCAAGUUUGGCGUGAAAUCUCUCGGCUUAACUGGGAGCGGUCGUUGAAAACUGAAUGACUUGAGUCAGUGAGAGGGGUGCGGAAUUCCGGGUGUAGUGGUGGAAUGCGUAGAUAUCCGGAGGAACACCAGUGGCGAAAGCGGCACCCUGGCACUGUACUGACGCUGAGGUGCGAAAGCGUGGGUAGCGAACGGGAUUAGAUACCCCGGUAGUCCACGCCGUAAACGAUGAAUACUAGGUGUAGGAUGUGUUAAAGCAUUCUGUGCCAAAGCAAACGCGAUAAGUAUUCCGCCUGGGGAGUACGGCCGCAAGGCUAAAACUCAAAGGAAUUGACGGGGACCCGCACAAGCAGCGGAGCGUGUGGUUUAAUUCGAUACGCGAAGAACCUUACCUGGUCUUGACAUAGAAAGAACUUUCCAGAGAUGGAUUGGUGCCUGCUUGCAGGAGCUUUCAUACAGGUGCUGCACGGCUGUCGUCAGCUCGUGUCGUGAGAUGUUGGGUUAAGUCCCGCAACGAGCGCAACCCUCGUCGUUAGUUGCUAACAGUUCGGCUGAGAACUCUAACGAGACUGCCUACGCAAGUAGGAGGAAGGUGAGGACGACGUCAAGUCAUCAUGGCCCUUACGACCAGGGCUACACACGUGCUACAAUGGGGUAUACAAAGAGCAGCGAUACGGUGACGUGGAGCGAAUCUCAAAAAUGCCUCCCAGUUCGGAUAGUAGUCUGCAACUCGACUACUUGAAGUUGGAAUCGCUAGU